GGAGGCGUGCUUGAGCGGACGAAAAGGGCGGUCUUGAAAACCGUUAUGCCAGCAAUGGCAUCAGAGGUUCGAAUCCUCUCGCCUCCG
Non-coding RNA from Parcubacteria group bacterium CG1_02_40_82, 87 nucleotides. The record is from Rfam.